AUUGAACGCUAGCGGGAUGCCUUACACAUGCAAGUCGAACGGCAGCACGGACUUCGGUCUGGUGGCGAGUGGCGAACGGGUGAGUAAUGUAUCGGAACGUGCCCAGUAGCGGGGGAUAACUACGCGAAAGCGUAGCUAAUACCGCAUACGCCCUACAGGGGAAAGCAGGGGAUCGCAAGACCUUGCACUAUUGGAGCGGCCGAUAUCGGAUUAGCUAGUUGGUGGGGUAACGGCUCACCAAGGCGACGAUCCGUAGCUGGUUUGAGAGGACGACCAGCCACACUGGGACUGAGACACGGCCCAGACUCCUACGGGAGGCAGCAGUGGGGAAUUUUGGACAAUGGGGGAAACCCUGAUCCAGCCAUCCCGCGUGUGCGAUGAAGGCCUUCGGGUUGUAAAGCACUUUUGGCAGGAAAGAAACGUCGCGGGUUAAUACCCCGCGAAACUGACGGUACCUGCAGAAUAAGCACCGGCUAACUACGUG
This 484-nucleotide ribosomal RNA is filed under the name uncultured bacterium. Its description in RNAcentral is "partial 16S ribosomal RNA". It matches the Rfam family "Bacterial small subunit ribosomal RNA", at positions 30 to 507 of the family's 1533-position model. The record is from RNAcentral.